UUCAGGUUGCAGCUAAAGCUCUGGAGGCGUUUGGAGCGUACUUCAACAUCCUGACAAACCUGAAAGACGUCAGCGACGAGGCCUUCAGAGCGGCGACCCACAGGAGAGCGUCCGCUCUGCUGCAGGAGGCCAAAGACAGCGCUGCCGCCAUCCUCCUCGCCGCCGAGAGCAGGAGCUGAAACGCUGAGAGACUGUUAAUAAAACCUUCACUCAAACAA
Oryzias melastigma (Indian medaka) is the source of this 218-nucleotide long non-coding RNA. RefSeq lists it as uncharacterized. The record is from RefSeq and is a predicted model, not a curated record. The transcript is spliced from 2 exons. Lineage: Eukaryota; Metazoa; Chordata; Actinopteri; Beloniformes; Adrianichthyidae.